GGGGUACAUUACCACAUUACCAUGGAUUGGAAUGCUACAGAGAAGAUUAGCAUGGCACCUGCGCAAGGAUGACGGGCAAAUUCAUGAAGUGUUCCAUAUUUUU
This is a small nuclear RNA of Oxyura jamaicensis (ruddy duck), 103 nucleotides long. Lineage: Eukaryota; Metazoa; Chordata; Aves; Anseriformes; Anatidae. The record is from RefSeq and is a predicted model, not a curated record.